This is a long non-coding RNA of Peromyscus eremicus (cactus mouse), 345 nucleotides long. RefSeq lists it as uncharacterized. The record is from RefSeq and is a predicted model, not a curated record. The transcript is spliced from 3 exons. NCBI's taxonomy places the organism in Eukaryota, Metazoa, Chordata, Mammalia, Rodentia, Cricetidae.
GACGACACAGCGCUCGGACAGCUUGCCCCCAGCUUGCCCACCGCAGUGAGUGUUCAGGCAUUCUCCCAGAUGAAUGGACACUUGGUUCUCAUAACAGACGCUACAACAGUUAACUACGAUUACAUAAACCAGUGGAAAGUGAGCUGGAUUUCAAAAUGACACAAAGCCAAGGAGAAAGGUGCUUUCUGAGAUAAGACCUUCCAUGAAAUCUGGACCUCAUCCGUUCAGCUAAGCCGGCUGGCCGAGCAGCUCAGGACAUCGCCCGACUUGGCCUCCCAGGCACUGGUUUUUGCCCUUCACUGCAUGGUGCUGGGGAUCUGGGCUCAGUUCCUCAGGCUCGGUUCC